GUAGGUGGAGAUAGAAAACAACAUUUCACUUUUAGAAGAGAAAGAUAAAGAGGUGAAGGAAGUCCUGAGAAAACUGGACAAUCAGGAUAAACUGGACAUAGACGAAGCAGUGGUCACUACGACUCCACUAUACAGACAGCUGCUGAAUUCCUUUGCUGAGGAGCAGGCAAUAGAGGAUGCUAUAUAUUAUCUGGGAGAGGCUCUGCGUAAAGAUGUCAUUGAUCUGGAUGUAUUCCUCAAACAAGUACGUGAGUUAUCCAGGAGGCAGUUUUUGAUUA
Saccostrea cuccullata (small rock oyster) is the source of this 278-nucleotide long non-coding RNA. RefSeq lists it as uncharacterized. The transcript is spliced from 3 exons. The record is from RefSeq and is a predicted model, not a curated record. Lineage: Eukaryota; Metazoa; Mollusca; Bivalvia; Ostreida; Ostreidae.